AAAUUGAAGAGUUUGAUCAUGGCUCAGAUUGAACGCUGGCUUGGAGCUAACACGCACAAAGUCGAACGGUAUUGUGGAAAACUUUCUUUGCUGUAGUGUGAGGACGAAUUUGAGUAAUGUCUGGGAAACUGCCUGAUGGAGGGGGAUAACUACUGGAAACGGUAGCUAAUACCGCAUAACGUCGCAAGACCAAAGAGGGGGACCUUCGGGCCUCUUGCCAUCGGAUGUGCCCAGAUGGGAUUAGCUAGUAGGUGGGGUAACGGCUCACCUAGGCGACGAUCCCUAGCUGGUCUGAGAGGAUGACCAGCCACACUGGAACUGAGACACGGUCCAGACUCCUACGGGAGGCAGCAGUGGGGAAUAUUGCACAAUGGGCGCAAGCCUGAUGCAGCCAUGCCGCGUGUAUGAAGAAGGCCUUCGGGUUGUAAAGUACUUUCAGCGGGGAGGAAGGGAGUAAAGUUAAUACCUUUGCUCAUUGACGUUACCCGCAGAAGAAGCACCGGCUAACUCCGUGCCAGCAGCCGCGGUAAUACGGAGGGUGCAAGCGUUAAUCGGAAUUACUGGGCGUAAAGCGCACGCAGGCGGUUUGUUAAGUCAGAUGUGAAAUCCCCGGGCUCAACCUGGGAACUGCAUCUGAUACUGGCAAGCUUGAGUCUCGUAGAGGGGGGUAGAAUUCCAGGUGUAGCGGUGAAAUGCGUAGAGAUCUGGAGGAAUACCGGUGGCGAAGGCGGCCCCCUGGACGAAGACUGACGCUCAGGUGCGAAAGCGUGGGGAGCAAACAGGAUUAGAUACCCUGGUAGUCCACGCCGUAAACGAUGUCGACUUGGAGGUUGUGCCCUUGAGGCGUGGCUUCCGGAGCUAACGCGUUAAGUCGACCGCCUGGGGAGUACGGCCGCAAGGUUAAAACUCAAAUGAAUUGACGGGGGCCCGCACAAGCGGUGGAGCAUGUGGUUUAAUUCGAUGCAACGCGAAGAACCUUACCUGGUCUUGACAUCCACGGAAGUUUUCAGAGAUGAGAAUGUGCCUUCGGGAACCGUGAGACAGGUGCUGCAUGGCUGUCGUCAGCUCGUGUUGUGAAAUGUUGGGUUAAGUCCCGCAACGAGCGCAACCCUUAUCCUUUGUUGCCAGCGGUCCGGCCGGGAACUCAAAGGAGACUGCCAGUGAUAAACUGGAGGAAGGUGGGGAUGACGUCAAGUCAUCAUGGCCCUUACGACCAGGGCUACACACGUGCUACAAUGGCGCAUACAAAGAGAAGCGACCUCGCGAGAGCAAGCGGACCUCAUAAAGUGCGUCGUAGUCCGGAUUGGAGUCUGCAACUCGACUCCAUGAAGUCGGAAUCGCUAGUAAUCGUGGAUCAGAAUGCCACGGUGAAUACGUUCCCGGGCCUUGUACACACCGCCCGUCACACCAUGGGAGUGGGUUGCAAAAGAAGUAGGUAGCUUAACCUUCGGGAGGGCGCUUACCACUUUGUGAUUCAUGACUGGGGUGAAGUCGUAACAAGGUAACCGUAGGGGAACCUGCGGUUGGAUCACCUCCUUACCUUAAAGAAGC
Molecule: ribosomal RNA, 1551 nt
Filed under: Escherichia coli
Lineage: Bacteria; Pseudomonadati; Pseudomonadota; Gammaproteobacteria; Enterobacterales; Enterobacteriaceae
Description: bacterial SSU rRNA
Rfam family: Bacterial small subunit ribosomal RNA
Source: RNAcentral